GGAGGAUUAGGCUAACGGUAAGUCAGCGGUCUUGAAAACCGUCGCCCUUGUGGCUUGGGGGUUCGAAUCCCUCAUCCUCCGCAA
Molecule: transfer RNA, 84 nt
Filed under: Fidelibacterota bacterium
Lineage: Bacteria; Pseudomonadati; Fidelibacterota
Description: tRNA-Ser
Rfam family: tRNA
About the family: Transfer RNA (tRNA) molecules are approximately 80 nucleotides in length.
Source: RNAcentral